GUGGGGAAUCUUGCGCAAUGGGCGAAAGCCUGACGCAGCCAUGCCGCGUGAAUGAUGAAGGUCUUAGGAUUGUAAAAUUCUUUCACCGGGGACGAUAAUGACGGUACCCGGAGAAGAAGCCCCGGCUAACUUCGUGCCAGCAGCCGCGGUAAUACGAAGGGGGCUAGCGUUGCUCGGAAUUACUGGGCGUAAAGGGCGCGUAGGCGGACAGUUUAGUCAGAGGUGAAAGCCCAGGGCUCAACCUUGGAAUUGCCUUUGAUACUGGCUGUCUUGAGUACGGGAGAGGUGAGUGGAACUCCGAGUGUAGAGGUGAAAGUCGUAGAUAUUCGGAAGAACACCAGUGGCGAAGGCGACUCACUGGCCCGUUACUGACGCUGAGGCGCGAAACCGUGGGGAGCAAACAGGAUUAGAAACCCGAGUAGUCC
RNAcentral lists this ribosomal RNA (425 nucleotides) under uncultured bacterium. Its description in RNAcentral is "bacterial SSU rRNA". It matches the Rfam family "Bacterial small subunit ribosomal RNA", at positions 354 to 796 of the family's 1533-position model. The record is from RNAcentral.